Molecule: long non-coding RNA, 2654 nt
Organism: Lepisosteus oculatus (spotted gar)
Lineage: Eukaryota; Metazoa; Chordata; Actinopteri; Semionotiformes; Lepisosteidae
Source: Ensembl
UAAGCUAAAUGUGUCUUAUUAAAUUAUUUUUAAAACUUUAAGACCAGUCCGUUAAAAUAUAAAGAACAACACCACAUCAUUUGUGGCAAACUUUAGAAAAGCCGUCGAAAAGGUGUCAUUAAAAAUAAGCUAAAUGCGUCUUAUUAAAUUAUUUUUAAAACUUUAAGACCUGUCCGUUAAAAUACUGUAACGCAUACGGCCACCAGUGAGUGUGUAAGAGCCGGCUUACCGGAGCGGUGACGUCACCGCCCUUCCCUGUGAUAACAGAGGCUGCAGCCGCUACAAAUGAUAAAUCUUAAACCGCUGCUAACGCGGAGGAAAUGAAGAACCGUAACUCAAAAGAGGCGUUUAAUGACCCGGGUGUGCCGUCGUCCGAAGAAUAUGUCGGAAUUCUUACAAAGAGUGCCUUACAAUCUUCUUUCUGCAAAGCUUGAUGUGAAAAUCAAUGAGUCGAAUGCUAAGGUCUUUAAAUUUGUUAAAGAGAUAGUUGUGUAUGUCAAGAUCCCGAGUGAAAUUACAGCCCUACUCAGGCACAUUUUGUUUGCUCCGUUAGACCAGGUCGCCCGGUGCAGUUCUUAUGGUUUUAGACAUGGGGAGCGGAAGGACGUUAUGAACGCUUUUUCAGAUGCAGCAAAGUUUCUGAGCAUUGUUGGGGUGAUCGUUACCUGUACCGAACUAAUUUUUCCGCACCAACAUUUCAUUGGUGAUUGCAAACAGGAGUCUGUCACGUGUGUGAACAAUUCAAAAGUGUGUGUUGUGAUGUUUCGGUGUUUGAAAACCUACUAAUGAAAUAAAGUGGUUCACAUUUCACAUGCUAUUGGUCCUGCGAGUGUGUGUGUGUGGCUGCUUACAUGCCCCUGAUGUUUUUGUGAGACACGCUGUCAGGGUCCACCACUCGAUUUUUCGAUUUUUAAGAACUUUUAUUUCCUUUUCACAAUAAAAUACAGGGCAUCACAAAUGCUUUACAUUAAUAUACAUACUUAAAACAGUAUAUAUGAUCACAUCUUAUUACAUUUUGACACGGUACCAGUUACAUAGCAACAAUUUCUUUUUUCUGAAGCAAAUCACAUUCUUUACUUAAACAUGAUAGUGUUUUUCACAGUUUCUUGAGAUAUUGACCUAUGCCCUCUAUUUACUCUGACACCCGGCCGCGGCAGGUGCUGCUCACACCCCGGGAUCUCGCGGCCCUCUCCAGACACCCCACGCCGCCGUAACUCCCCGAUUCCCUAGGGUUAUAAUAGAGCGCGCUCAACCCCGCGGCAGACAUGAUCGCCUUCCAACCCUCAUACACGCUUUCAUACACUUAUUUAUAAAUCGAGAGAUGCGGUGGCAGGGGCUUUUGGACCCUGAGGCUCAGGACCGCUCGGUGGGGGAUGGCGGGACAUCCGACCCUUAACGACACACCUUCGGCUCGGGAGGGGGCGGGACAUCCAACCAUGACAACGCACCAUUGGAUGACAAAGGGGCGGGUCAUCCGCCCCACCGUGGACACCCAUUGGCUGAAACAGGGGUGUGGCACCUGUCGAAAAAGUUUGACGAAAGGUGUCCCUUUAUACUAUUCCUGUGCAGUGCGGCAGUGAGAAUGGCCCCAGUGCAGCAGUGAGAAUGGCCCUAGUGCAGUGCAGUGCUGUGCAAUGCAGCAGUGAGGGCGGCUCCUGUGCAGUGCGUUGCAACAGUGGGAACAUCUCUAGUGCAGUGUAACGCAGUACAGCAGUGACAACAGCUUCAGUGUAGUGCAGCAGUGUAAACAGGUGCUCGCAGGUGUUUAAGACUGUGAACCCUGUUCAUGCCAAUAGGGAUGGGCAUAGCCCAAAAGGAGUGUCAAUGGCUGUGACUCUCCCUAGCCCUCUUUCUCCAUCUCCAGAUCAUCCCCUUAUCUUCUGACUCACACUCACUCGUUCCAUCCCGCCUUCUCAGUCUUCUCAGCCCCCUUCAUCUCUCCAUUCCUCCUGUCACUCUUCCUCGCUGGCUUUCUCUUUUCUUCUUCUUUCUCUUCCUUUCAGUCUCUGUCAUGGAUGUCCUGCUCUCUGGUGUUUUUCGGCAUGGUGUCUUUGGCUUUGUGCUGUGUGUGCUGUUACUGUAUUGCUGUUCAGUACUUGCCUGGGGAAUUGACACCACAGCUGGUCAGGCACUCCAUCCCCCGAUCCUUCUAAAAAUAGGCUGUGUUGAUUCUUUAUUGCUUUGGACUUCACUGAUCUUUCUUCUUCGAUCACACCUGAUUUCUGUCGGUCUCUUCUUCUCUUCCCUCUCUUUCUUUUUCUCUCUUUCCCUUCAUCCUUCCCUCUGUCCAUCUCUCUGCCUCUCUCUAAGCAUCCCUUACUCUGAUGCCUAGCAACCGUUUCCCCAGCAACAAAACCUCGUGCCUCUCUCCCUCCCUGUGUGCUUGGGAUUGGCCGGUGGCCGUCUCCUUCUGCCUCCUUUCCCCAGCACAGAGUUUCUCAGGAAGCUCUGGAGGCACAGGUGUACAGGUGGCCAAGGGUUAGAACAUCCUGCCUUCCUGACUACCCAAGGAGUGCAACCUGGCACAGCCAAAACCAUGGCAGUCCUCAUUCUGCCAAUAACACUCAGGGAUUACGUUAAAAAAAACAUCUUAGUGCACAACUAAAUAUAGAACUGGCUGAAAAGAGCUUUGUAACCAAUGCAAUAAACAGAUA